UACAGAGGGUGCGAGCGUUAAUCGGCAUUACUGGGCGUAAAGCGCACGUAGGCGGCUUGGUAUGUCGGGUGUGAAAUCCCCGGGCUCAACCUGGGAACUGCAUCCGAAACUGCCUUGCUCGAGUAUGGGAGAGGGAAGUGGAAUUUCCGGUGUAGCGGUGAAAUGCGUAGAUAUCGGAAGGAACAUCAGUGGCGAAGGCGACUUCCUGGACCAAUACUGACGCUCAGGUGCGAAAGCGUGGGGAGCAAACAGG
This 253-nucleotide ribosomal RNA is filed under the name uncultured bacterium. Its description in RNAcentral is "partial 16S ribosomal RNA". It matches the Rfam family "Bacterial small subunit ribosomal RNA", at positions 524 to 776 of the family's 1533-position model. The record is from RNAcentral.